Molecule: unclassified non-coding RNA, 399 nt
Filed under: uncultured Planctomycetia bacterium
Lineage: Bacteria; Pseudomonadati; Planctomycetota; Planctomycetia
Description: contains 16S-23S intergenic spacer region
Source: RNAcentral
UCCGGUUUAACACCGGCAGUCUUUCCAGAGUCCCCGACAUUACUCGCUGGCAACUGGAAACAAGGGUUUCGCUCGUUAUGGGACUUAACCCGACAUCUCACGACACGAGCUGACGACAGCCAUGCAGCACCUGUAUCAGACUCAGGAUUGGAUACCUUCGCCUCCCGUUUCCGGGAGACUACCAUCUGACGCUUUCGCACAUGUCAAGCCCAGGAUAAGGUUCUUCGCGUAGCCUCGAAUUGAGCCACAUGCUCCACCGCUUGUGUGAGCCCCCGUCAAUUUCUUUGAGUUUCAGCCUUGCGACCAUACUCCCCAGGCGGGGUACUUAACACUUUUGCUUCGACUGUAAACCCAUGAUUAGUCUACAAUCUAGUACCCAUCGUUUAGGGCUAGGACUAC